RNAcentral lists this ribosomal RNA (541 nucleotides) under uncultured bacterium. RNAcentral's name for it is "partial 16S ribosomal RNA". It matches the Rfam family "Bacterial small subunit ribosomal RNA", at positions 355 to 889 of the family's 1533-position model. The record is from RNAcentral.
UGGGGAAUUUUGGACAAUGGGCGAAAGCCUGAUCCAGCAAUGCCGCGUGUGUGAAGAAGGCCUUCGGGUUGUAAAGCACUUUUGUCCGGAAAGAAAUCCUUGGCUCUAAUACAGUCGGGGGAUGACGGUACCGGAAGAAUAAGCACCGGCUAAUUACGUGCCAGCAGCCGCGGUAAUACGUAGGGUGCAAGCGUUAAUCGGAAUUACUGGGCGUAAAGCGUGCGCAGGCGGUUUGCUAAGACCGAUGUGAAAUCCCCGGGCUCAACCUGGGAACUGCAUUGGUGACUGGCAGGUUAGAGUAUGGCAGAGGGGGGUAGAAUUCCACGUGUAGCAGUGAAAUGCGUAGAGAUGUGGAGGAAUACCGAUGGCGAAGGCAGCCCCCUGGGCCAAUACUGACGCUCAUGCACGAAAGCGUGGGGAGCAAACAGGAUUAGAUACCCUGGUAGUCCACGCCCUAAACGAUGUCAACUAGUUGUUGGGGAUUCAUUUCCUUAGUAACGUAGCUAACGCGUGAAGUUGACCGCCUGGGGAGUACGGUCGC